UACGGAAGGUCCGGGCGUUAUCCGGAUUUAUUGGGUUUAAAGGGAGCGCAGGCCGCCGUGCAAGCGUGCCGUGAAAAGCAGCGGCCCAACCGCUGCCCUGCGGCGCGAACUGCGUGGCUUGAGUGCGCCGGAAGCGGGCGGAAUUCGUGGUGUAGCGGUGAAAUGCUUAGAUAUCACGAAGAACCCCGAUUGCGAAGGCAGCCCGCUGUGGCGCCACUGACGCUGAGGCUCGAAGGUGCGGGUAUCGAACAGG
Molecule: ribosomal RNA, 253 nt
Filed under: Segatella buccae ATCC 33574
Lineage: Bacteria; Pseudomonadati; Bacteroidota; Bacteroidia; Bacteroidales; Prevotellaceae
Description: Prevotella buccae ATCC 33574 partial 16S ribosomal RNA
Rfam family: Bacterial small subunit ribosomal RNA
Source: RNAcentral